This 215-nucleotide ribosomal RNA is filed under the name uncultured bacterium. RNAcentral describes it as "partial 16S ribosomal RNA". It matches the Rfam family "Bacterial small subunit ribosomal RNA", at positions 1286 to 1500 of the family's 1533-position model. The record is from RNAcentral.
UCCCAGUUCGGAUUGUAGUCUGCAACCCGACUACAUGAAGCUGGAAUCGCUAGUAAUCGCGGAUCAGAAUGCCGCGGUGAAUACGUUCCCGGGUCUUGUACACACCGCCCGUCACACCAUGGGAGUCGGAAAUGCCCGAAGCCUGUGACCCAACCUACGGGAGGGAGCAGCCGAAGGCAGGUCGGAUGACUGGGGUGAAGUCGUAACAAGGUAGC